This 394-nucleotide RNase P RNA is filed under the name Candidatus Aminicenantota bacterium. RNAcentral describes it as "Candidatus Aminicenantes bacterium (hot springs metagenome) RNase P RNA component class A". It matches the Rfam family "Bacterial RNase P class A". Rfam says of the family: Ribonuclease P (RNase P) is a ubiquitous endoribonuclease, found in archaea, bacteria and eukarya as well as chloroplasts and mitochondria. Its best characterised activity is the generation of mature 5'-ends of tRNAs by cleaving the 5'-leader elements of precursor-tRNAs. Lineage: Bacteria; Candidatus Aminicenantota. The record is from RNAcentral.
UGGGGCAGGCGAUGGGAGCGCUGGUUCUGAUGAAGAACCAGAGGAAAGUCCGAACUCCACAGGGCAGGAUGCUGGAUAACAUCCAGGCGCUUGAGGCGAAAGCUUCAAGCGACGGAAAGUGCCACAGAAAACAUACCGCCCCGCACUUGAAUUACAAGUGCGAGGUAAGGGUGAAAAGGCGAGGUAAGAGCUCACCGCUCCACCAGCGAUGGUGGAGGCAUGGCAAACCCCAUCCGGAGCAAGACCAAAUAGGCUUUGCCCUUUGAAGGGUUGCCCGCCCGAUACUCCUUAAAUGGAGGGGCAAAGCGGGUAGGUCGCUGGAGUUCUGCAGUAAUGCAGAACCAAGAUUAAUGCUCCCCAUGAACAGAAUUCGGCUUAUGUCCUGCCCCACUUU